AGUGAACGCUGGCGGUAGGCCUAACACAUGCAAGUCGAACGGCAGCACCGUAAGAGCUUGCUCUUACGGGUGGCGAGUGGCGGACGGGUGAGGAAUACAUCGGAAUCUACUUUUUCGUGGGGGAUAACGUAGGGAAACUUACGCUAAUACCGCAUACGACCUACGGGUGAAAGCAGGGGAUCUUCGGACCUUGCGCGAUUGAAUGAGCCGAUGUCGGAUUAGCUAGUUGGCGGGGUAAAGGCCCACCAAGGCGACGAUCCGUAGCUGGUCUGAGAGGAUGAUCAGCCACACUGGAAAGGAGACACGGUCCAGACUCCUACGGGAGGCAGCAGUGGGGAAUAUUGGACAAUGGGCGGAAGCCUGAUCCAGCCAUACCGCGUGGGUGAAGAAGGCCUUCGGGUUGUAAAGCCCUUUUGUUGGGAAAGAAAAGCAGCAGGUUAAUACCCCGCUGUUCUGACGGUACCCAAAGAAUAAGCACCGGCUAACUUCGUG
This 492-nucleotide ribosomal RNA is filed under the name uncultured bacterium. RNAcentral describes it as "partial 16S ribosomal RNA". It matches the Rfam family "Bacterial small subunit ribosomal RNA", at positions 29 to 507 of the family's 1533-position model. The record is from RNAcentral.